Molecule: ribosomal RNA, 468 nt
Filed under: uncultured bacterium
Lineage: Bacteria
Description: partial 16S ribosomal RNA
Rfam family: Bacterial small subunit ribosomal RNA
Source: RNAcentral
GACGAACGCUGGCGGCGUGCUUAACACAUGCAAGUCGAACGGAAAGGCCCUGCUUUUGUGGUGUGCUCGAGUGGCGAACGUGUGAGUAACACGUGAGUAACCUGCCCUUGACUUUGGUAUAACUUCAGGAAACUGGGUCUAAUACCGUAUAGGAGCUCCUGCUGCAUUGUGGUGGUUGGAAAGUUUCGGCGGUUGGGUGUGCUCUCGCGGCUUAUCAGCGUGUUGGUGGGGUUGUGGCUUACCAAGGCUUUGACGGGUAGGCGGCCUGAGAGGGUGACCGGACACUUUGGGACUGAGAUACGGCCCAGACUCAUACGGGAGGCAGAAGUGGGGAAUAUUGCAAAAUGGGCGGAAGUCAGAUGCAGCAACGCCGCGUGCGGGAUGACGGCUUUCGGGCUGUAAACCGCUUUGGCAUGUGACGAAGCGUGAGUGACGGUAAUGGGUAAAGAAGCACCGGCUAACUACGUG